CGGGCGGACGGGUGGGUAACGCGUGGGUAACCUGCCUCAUACAGGGGGAUAACAGUUAGAAAUGACUGCUAAUACCGCAUAAGCGCACAGUACCACAUGGUACGGUGUGAAAAACUCCGGUGGUAUGAGAUGGACCCGCGUCUGAUUAGCUAGUUGGUGGGGUAACGGCCCACCAAGGCGACGAUCAGUAGCCGACCUGAGAGGGUGAUCGGCCACAUUGGGACUGAGACACGGCCCAA
RNAcentral lists this ribosomal RNA (239 nucleotides) under uncultured bacterium. Its description in RNAcentral is "partial 16S ribosomal RNA". It matches the Rfam family "Bacterial small subunit ribosomal RNA", at positions 95 to 334 of the family's 1533-position model. The record is from RNAcentral.